GUCGAGCGGACAGAAGGGAGCUUGCUCCCGGAUGUUAGCGGCGGACGGGUGAGUAACACGUGGGUAACCUGCCUGUAAGACUGGGAUAACUCCGGGAAACCGGAGCUAAUACCGGAUAGUUCCUUGAACCGCAUGGUUCAAGGAUGAAAGACGGUUUCGGCUGUCACUUACAGAUGGACCCGCGGCGCAUUAGCUAGUUGGUGAGGUAACGGCUCACCAAGGCGACGAUGCGUAGCCGACCUGAGAGGGUGAUCGGCCACACUGGGACUGAGACACGGCCCAGACUCCUACGGGAGGCAGCAGUAGGGAAUCUUCCGCAAUGGACGAAAGUCUGACGGAGCAACGCCGCGUGAGUGAUGAAGGUUUUCGGAUCGUAAAGCUCUGUUGUUAGGGAAGAACAAGUGCAAGAGUAACUGCUUGCACCUUGACGGUACCUAACCAGAAAGCCACGGCUAACUACGUGCCAGCAGCCGCGGUAAUACGUAGGUGGCAAGCGUUGUCCGGAAUUAUUGGGCGUAAAGGGCUCGCAGGCGGUUUCUUAAGUCUGAUGUGAAAGCCCCCGGCUCAACCGGGGAGGGUCAUUGGAAACUGGGAAACUUGAGUGCAGAAGAGGAGAGUGGAAUUCCACGUGUAGCGGUGAAAUGCGUAGAGAUGUGGAGGAACACCAGUGGCGAAGGCGACUCUCUGGUCUGUAACUGACGCUGAGGAGCGAAAGCGUGGGGAGCGAACAGGAUUAGAUACCCUGGUAGUCCACGCCGUAAACGAUGAGUGCUAAGUGUUAGGGGGUUUCCGCCCCUUAGUGCUGCAGCUAACGCAUUAAGCACUCCGCCUGGGGAGUACG
RNAcentral lists this ribosomal RNA (841 nucleotides) under Bacillus pumilus. RNAcentral describes it as "bacterial SSU rRNA". It matches the Rfam family "Bacterial small subunit ribosomal RNA", at positions 61 to 884 of the family's 1533-position model. The record is from RNAcentral. Lineage: Bacteria; Bacillati; Bacillota; Bacilli; Caryophanales; Bacillaceae.